ACCGUGCACAGUGGCACAUACCUGUAGUCCCAGCUACUUGGGAGGCUGAGGCUAGAGGAUUGCUUGAGUCCAGGAGUUCUGGGCUGUAGUGCAACGUGCCGAUCAGGUGUCUGCACUAAGUUUGACAUCAAUAUGGUGACCUCCCGGGAGUGGGGGACCACCAGGUUGCCUAAGGAGGGGUGAACUGACCGAGGUCGGAAACGGAGCAGGUCAAAACUCCCAUGCUGAUCAGUAGUGGGAUCGCGCCUGUGAAUAGCCACUGCACUCCAGCCUGGGCAACAUAGUGAGACCCUGUCUUA
Molecule: signal recognition particle RNA, 299 nt
Filed under: Aotus nancymaae (Ma's night monkey)
Lineage: Eukaryota; Metazoa; Chordata; Mammalia; Primates; Aotidae
Description: Metazoan signal recognition particle RNA (ENSANAG00000007425.1)
Rfam family: Metazoan signal recognition particle RNA
About the family: The signal recognition particle (SRP) is a universally conserved ribonucleoprotein. It is involved in the co-translational targeting of proteins to membranes. The eukaryotic SRP consists of a 300-nucleotide 7S RNA and six proteins: SRPs 72, 68, 54, 19, 14, and 9.
Source: RNAcentral